UACGUAGGCAGCGAGCGUUGUUCGGAGUUACUGGGCGUAAAGAGUGCGUAGGUGGCUCUCUAAGUUUGGUGUGAAAUCUCCCGGCUCAACUGGGAGGGUGCGCCGAAAACUGGAGGACUAGAGUGUGGGAGAGGAAAGCGGAAUUCCUGGUGUAGCGGUGAAAUGCGUAGAUAUCAGGAGGAACACCUGCGGUGUAGACGGCUUUCUGGACCACUACUGACACUGAGGCACGAAAGCGUGGGGAGCAAAC
This 250-nucleotide ribosomal RNA is filed under the name uncultured bacterium. RNAcentral's name for it is "partial 16S ribosomal RNA". It matches the Rfam family "Bacterial small subunit ribosomal RNA", at positions 524 to 773 of the family's 1533-position model. The record is from RNAcentral.